Pseudophryne corroboree (corroboree frog) is the source of this 1004-nucleotide long non-coding RNA. RefSeq lists it as uncharacterized. Lineage: Eukaryota; Metazoa; Chordata; Amphibia; Anura; Myobatrachidae. The record is from RefSeq and is a predicted model, not a curated record. The transcript is spliced from 5 exons.
AUUCAGAAUUACUCUAAAUCUCAAAAAGGUUAUACCCAGUGGAUAAUCAGUGGAAAGGGUUACUUCCAAUUCAAUUUAAAUUGUGUUGAAAAAAAGCUCUACUGCUCGUCCAGCAGUCAGUCCCAUGACAUCGGAGGAUGAAGACGCUGCGGAAGCAGGUCUUGAGCAGCAGAAGGCGGCUGCCUGAAGCCCCACAAAGAAGGACACAUAUGCCAACAAAAAGUGUGGUCUGAUGGCCACUUCCAAACAUAGCAGGCUACCCCACCACAAAGAUUGUCUGCAUUUUCUUUGGUACCACCACUGCAAAUUUUGGACACACCUCCAAGACGCAAACCACACUCUCCUCAUCUGGAUGAUUCCAGUACUGGUACCAGCAUCCAUACGCAACCACAUCAACACAGUGACAUGGAGGACACAAUCACUCUACAAAUGCAGCCAGUAUUAGAAGGAAACAGCCCCCAGCACCUCUUGAAAGAAAUCUGUAAACUCAAAGAUGUGAAACCUCCAAGUUUAAGAAACUACAGAAGAGCUUGGCAAGAAGGAGCCGUGAACAGUCUACCUUAAUGGAUAUUAUGUGAACGGUUCUUUACCUUCCGUGGGAUAGAGUGACAAGCACGAUCCUACGGGAAUAUAACCUUUAGCAUCAUUAUAGCUAGACUAUUUGCCUAGACUCUUGUAGGUAGAGAUUGUGUAAUGCCUUAUAGCUCAACUGUAAUGUCAUAUUAUUAUGAAUAAGAGGGACUGAGAGAGAUUAAUUGACCUUAAACAGCUAUCAGCCAUUUUGUUUAAGUAGCAGCCAUGUUGUAGUGAAUAAGAAAGAUGCUUUGUAGAGAAAUCAUAAUAAUGCUGACAUUUCAUAGUACGUUCUGUGGGAAGCAAGGUCGUAGCUAUAGUCUUGAAAAUAUGUUAUUCGACAGCUUCUCUGUGUUUAGACUUCUUGUAAAGAACACGAAGGAGGGUGACAGCUAGUGAGUUCUGAAUAAAGAUGCAUUAUUGUUUUAAAA